Dreissena polymorpha is the source of this 312-nucleotide long non-coding RNA. RefSeq lists it as uncharacterized. The transcript is spliced from 3 exons. The record is from RefSeq and is a predicted model, not a curated record. Lineage: Eukaryota; Metazoa; Mollusca; Bivalvia; Myida; Dreissenidae.
CCAUUUGAGAGCACUUAAUGAAGAUAUGCAGUCAAUUCAUAGAAAAUCCGUUUAUGCAGUCUGCCUGUGGACUCCUGUGUAAUUGGACAGCUAGCUGAUAAUUAUGCUCGUCAUGGCUAAGUGUUCCUGGAGUCAGAUGCUGCGCUUCUAGAGAAUCCAUUCGCUUCAAGAGAAUCCAUUUGGAUGUUGCAAAUUAUCUGUACACCAAAUAAAUGAAUGCAUGUUUACUUUACUUUAUGUUUUUAUUUAUGUUGUCAAUGUGCAUUUUAAAUCAUCCUUUGUUAAUAAUUACAAAAGUUAUGUCUCCUGUUU